This is a long non-coding RNA of Bradysia coprophila, 154 nucleotides long. The record is from RefSeq and is a predicted model, not a curated record. Lineage: Eukaryota; Metazoa; Arthropoda; Insecta; Diptera; Sciaridae.
AAAAUAAUAUUUCGAAUUUGCGAGACCGGUUGAAACGUCUCUUUGGUAGAAAAUAUUGUUUCGGAUUUUUGAGACCGGCGGAGACGUCUUUUUAGUAGAAAAUAUUAUUUCGGAUUUUUGAGACCGGUUGAGACGUCUCUUUUUCAGAAAAUGU